GUUUAAACACAGUUCCUCGUACGAUCAGCAAAGUUAACCAACGUCGAGCCUGGUCAGUACCGAGAUGGGUGACCGCUUGGGAACACCAGGUGCC
Acanthosepion pharaonis is the source of this 94-nucleotide non-coding RNA. Lineage: Eukaryota; Metazoa; Mollusca; Cephalopoda; Sepiida; Sepiidae. The record is from the annotation of a GenBank genome assembly.